This 254-nucleotide ribosomal RNA is filed under the name uncultured bacterium. Its description in RNAcentral is "partial 16S ribosomal RNA". It matches the Rfam family "Bacterial small subunit ribosomal RNA", at positions 524 to 776 of the family's 1533-position model. The record is from RNAcentral.
UACGUAGGGGGCGAGCGUUGUCCGGAAUUAUUGGGCGUAAAGAGCUCGUAGGCGGUGUGUCGCGUCGGCCGUGAAAACCUGCAGCUUAACUGUGGGCUUGCGGUCGAUACGGGCAUCACUGGAGUUCGGCAGGGGAGACUGGAAUUCCUGGUGUAGCGGUGAAAUGCGCAGAUAUCAGGAGGAACACCGGUGGCGAAGGCGGGUCUCUGGGCCGAUAUUGACGCUGAGGAGCGAAAGCGUGGGGAGCAAACAGG